GAAGUAAGUUUUUAAAUUGCUGUAGAUAUCAAUUAUAGUCUGAUGCCCAGUAAUCACUUACUAAGAAAUAUUUUCUGCUUCUCUUUUGUCAUUCAUGGGAGCGAUACAUAUCCUAAAUAUUUUACACAUUUAAAACUUAAACUUGUUGGGUGUGGUGGCUUAUGCCUGUAAUCCCAGCGUUUUGGGAGGCUUGGGUGGGAGGAUUGCUUGAGGCCAGGAGUUCUAGGCCAGCCUGGGCUACAUAGUAAGACCCCGUAUCUACAAAAAAAAAAAAUUAGCCAGGCAUGGUGGUGUCUCUGCAGUACUAGCUACUCGGGAGGUUGACGUGGUAGGAUCACAGGCACCCAGCAAUUCCAGCCUGCGGUUAGAUAGGAUUACCACACUGCACUUCAGCCUGGGCAACAGAAUGGGACCAUGUCUGAAAAAAUAAAUAAAAAAUAAAACUUACAGGUAUGUUUUGAAUAUUGAUUGUAUGCAUCCUCUAUGGUGUAUCAUUUUAUUGGAAAUUAUUGCAUUGUCUACAAAAAUAUGAAGAACUCUGAGGAUGCCAAAAGAUAAACCUUGAAAGAAUACUAGAAGUGAGAUCCUCAAAAAGAGAAAGCUGAGAAGUGUUUCCCAAUUUGUCUUAUUCAUUUAUGUAUGUAAUACUUUAUCUCUAAAAACUGAAUUUCAGAGCUGGGAGGAAACUUAAAAGUUGCUCAGUCUAAUUCUUUCAGGUUGGUGCCAAGAAAGCUGAUCAGACUUGCCCAAAAUUGAACAGUCUUAAAUCUGAGCUGAGGCAGGCAUCUGACUGUCUUAAAUUGGAGUUAAAUGUGUUAGCGUCAUGGUAUUAACAUCAUUGUAUUCCACAUCUCAAAUCUUAUUUGCUUUUCAUUACAAUAGUGAAAUAAGUGUGAUUAGCAUUAUCCCCAUUUCCUUCACCGGGAGGCACAUUGUUUUAGUAUCAAAAGCAGCUACCUUGGGAGAAUCUGGGGCUAGAAACCUGACCUCAUUUCAAGUUUUACUCUGUUGCACCAAAACCUUGCGUGAGUUACUCAGUUUCUCAGCUUCAGUCCCCUCAUCAGGAAAAUGCUGUCUUAGCACUUUCUGUGAAGGAUGAUCAAAGGAGUGGAGAUUAUUAUAGAGAUUAUAAACAUACUUGACACAGAGUAAGUGUUUAAGAAGUAGCAGCUGGUUUUUACAAAGUUAUCGGUCAUAGAAGGCAGUUUAGAGGAAAGGGCAGGCUUUGGAGCGGUUCAGAGUUGUAUUAUAACCUUGGCUUCUUUGCUCACGUAGGACAUACACUCUCUAGCUGUAGCUUCCUCCCCUCUGAGAUGGAAAUUACAAGCCAUCUCGCAAUGUUGUGAGGAUUGGAGCUCAAGGGUGUAAAAUGCCUCCUCUGUGGGCUCUCCUCGGAGACGUCUUGUAUCCUAUUGAUUGUCAUCAAAGGAAAGAAGUGGCAGGAUGAUGGUGUAAGAAGGAAGAACCUAGAGUUUAAUAGUCUGAAAAAGUGGUUACAGGUUCUUGCUGUGCUUUUUCUCUCUGCGGUUUUCUGAACCCAUUGCCUAACCUGAAGCCUUAAACUUCAUCUGCAAAAAUGUUUUGUGGCAGGUGCCUCUGAAGCAGAACUCUUGAGAUGGAAGGAUUGUCAUCUGAGGAAACAAAAUCGAGAUUAAGAGAGGAGGGACUAGAAUGAGAUUCACUUACCCUCUCUCCUCCAAGGGAAGGAGAGAAUGGUGAUGCCUGCCCAAUCCUUCCUGGGCAGAACCUUUGUAGCAUGGAACAUUGGAGAAUUUGCAGUCUGCUGACUUUCUGAUUUAGGAGGUUGAUGGGGAGGCCUUAUAAUUUGCAUUUCUAACAAGUUCUGAGGUGAUGCUUCAAAUAUGUCCAGGCAGAAGGGCUGCCACACAGAGACUUCUGCCAUACCACAUGAGAAUUGAAGCCACAGACAUCUCCAGCCCUCAAGCCUGAAACCAAAAGACUGAAAACCAAACACUACAGUGAACAAAGAACAUCUCAGAACUUCUGUGGGGACCAGUGACACAAGGACCUAAGGUCUCUCUCUUCUCAUCUUGGCACUUCAGUAGUCUCCCCAAUCUUGACAAAGCCCUGGAGAAAGGGGCGGGCCUCCCGUUGAUAAGAUUGUCACCGCAGGUAAAUGGAGGUUUCAAACUGAAAGAAAGGACGAGGCCCACUGCAGAUAAAUGGAGGUUUCAACUUGAAAGAAAGGAGGAGGGCCUCCUGUUUGAUAAGAUUAUUGUCACUGAAGGUAAAUGGAGGCUUCAAAUAGAAAUAGGUUUCAGUUACAGAAAAAAAAAUUAUCUUUGUUACACAUUUGAGUUUGCAGGCCUAAGGUUACGCCCGCUACAUUGUCAUCUGUAACCAUAAGGCACUCAACAUUUUAAGCUAACUGUAAGGAUUUUUGCUUCACUCAAAGAUCCUGAGGUUUUAUUUACAUUUUUAUUUGGUGACUAUAGUUGACAAGAACAAAGCUGUGGUGAAUCAAUAAACACUGCCAUGCCUGGCAUUGUCACCUCACUAGAUUGUGCAUUCCUCUGGGACAGGGUCCAUACAUUUCCUUCGAAUCCCUCAGUCAUUAGCCUGCACAGUGCUUGUACUUAGUAGGUGCUCAAUAAAUGUUUGUGGAAUGAAUGCAUGAUGAACAAAAUAUAUACUGAGGACUCUGGUGUUGAUUCUUGUUGAUAAUGUAAUAGUUAAGAUAUGCUAUAAAUAUAAAUAUUUCAUCAAAA
This is a long non-coding RNA of Piliocolobus tephrosceles (Ugandan red Colobus), 2729 nucleotides long. RefSeq lists it as uncharacterized. Lineage: Eukaryota; Metazoa; Chordata; Mammalia; Primates; Cercopithecidae. The record is from RefSeq and is a predicted model, not a curated record. The transcript is spliced from 2 exons.